AUAUCAUUUAGCGGAGGAAAAGAAACUAACAAGGAUUCCCUUAGUAACGGCGAGUGAACGGGGAGAAGCCCAGCGCUGAAUCUUUCGGUGUUACACUGUUAAGAAAUGUAGCGUAUAGAUGUGAUUUUCAGUUUGUGCUACAUGUCCAAAGUCCCUUUGAUAGGGGCCACAUUCCUGAGAGGGUGCGAGACCUGUGCGGACAGUGGAGCAAGCUGUACGAUUAUAUCUUAGAGUCGGGUUGCUUGAAAGUGCAGCCUAAAGUGGGUGAUAAACUUCAUCUAAGGCUAAAUAUAGACGCGAAUUCGAUAGCAAACAAGUACUGUGAAGGAAAGUUGCAAAGAACUUUGAAGAGAGAGUUCAAGAGAACGUGAAAUCGCUGGAGUGGAACCGGAGAGAGUUGACGUAGCCGGGUAACUAAGUUUCCUAAUGUCGCUUAAUUGUGGCUGCAGGUGAUGUAUGUUGCCUAUGGUUGCGCUGACAGCACUGGCUGUGCGUUCUGACCCGUUUGUGUUGCCCACUUCGGUGGUGUCUUACUUACGGUUAGGUCUGUCAUAGCUAGUGUUUUAUCCUGCUUGCAGGGUGUCAGUGUGAAAGUCGACCACCUCUCCGACCCGUCUUGAAACACGGACCAAGGAGUCA
RNAcentral lists this ribosomal RNA (639 nucleotides) under Marshallagia marshalli. RNAcentral's name for it is "LSU rRNA". It matches the Rfam family "Eukaryotic large subunit ribosomal RNA", at positions 40 to 676 of the family's 3401-position model. The record is from RNAcentral. Lineage: Eukaryota; Metazoa; Nematoda; Chromadorea; Rhabditida; Trichostrongylidae.